This 529-nucleotide ribosomal RNA is filed under the name uncultured bacterium. RNAcentral's name for it is "bacterial SSU rRNA". It matches the Rfam family "Bacterial small subunit ribosomal RNA", at positions 8 to 526 of the family's 1533-position model. The record is from RNAcentral.
AGAGUUUGAUCCUGGCUCAGAUUGAACGCUGGCGGCAGGCCUAACACAUGCAAGUCGGGCGGUAACAGGGAGAAGCUUGCUUCUCUGCUGACGAGCGGCGGACGGGUGAGUAAUGUAUGGGGAUCUGCCGAAUGGAAUGGGACAACAGUUGGAAACGACUGCUAAUACCGUAUAAUGUCGCGAGACCAAAGUGUGGGACCUUCGGGCCUCGCACCAUCAGAUGAACCCAUAUGGGAUUAGCUUGUAGGUGAGGUAACGGCUCACCUAGGCGACGAUCUCUAGCUGGUCUGAGAGGAUGACCAGCCACACUGGAACUGAGACACGGUCCAGACUCCUACGGGAGGCAGCAGUGGGGAAUAUUGCACAAUGGGCGCAAGCCUGAUGCAGCCAUGCCGCGUGUAUGAAGAAGGCCUUCGGGUUGUAAAGUACUUUCAGCGGGGAGGAAGGCGAUAAGGUUAAUAACCUUGUCGAUUGACGUUACCCGCAGAAGAAGCACCGGCUAACUCCGUGCCAGCCGCCGCGGUAAUUC